RNAcentral lists this ribosomal RNA (376 nucleotides) under uncultured bacterium. RNAcentral's name for it is "bacterial SSU rRNA". It matches the Rfam family "Bacterial small subunit ribosomal RNA", at positions 28 to 416 of the family's 1533-position model. The record is from RNAcentral.
GACGAACGCUGGCGGCGCGCUUUAUGCAUGCAAGUCGAACGGACCUUCGGGUCAGUGGCGGACGGCUGAGUAACGCGUAGGCAAUCUGCCCAGUGGUGGGGGAGUAACUCGCCGAAAGGUGAGCUAAUACCGCAUAAGUUCGGUGGUUGAAAUACCACCGAGGAAAGCAGCAAUGCACCACUGGAGGAGCCUGCGUCCUAUCAGGUAGUUGGUGGGGUAACGGCCUACCAAGCCGAUGACGGGUAGCUGGUCUGAGAGGACGACCAGCCAGAAGGGGACUGAGACACGGCCCCUACUCCUACGGGAGGCAGCAGCAAGGAAUCUUGGGCAAUGGGCGAAAGCCUGACCCAGCGACGCCGCGUGAGGGAUGAAGGCC